Molecule: non-coding RNA, 30 nt
Filed under: Homo sapiens (human)
Lineage: Eukaryota; Metazoa; Chordata; Mammalia; Primates; Hominidae
Source: RNAcentral
UGCAUGUAAUCCCAGCACUUUGGGAGGCCG